GUCAGAUUGGCCGAGUGGUUAAGGCGCUAGAUUUAAUAUCGUGUGGGGGAGUGUGGGUUCGAAUCCCACAUCUGACA
Molecule: non-coding RNA, 77 nt
Organism: Schistocerca serialis cubense
Lineage: Eukaryota; Metazoa; Arthropoda; Insecta; Orthoptera; Acrididae
Source: the annotation of a RefSeq genome assembly